RNAcentral lists this ribosomal RNA (252 nucleotides) under uncultured bacterium. RNAcentral's name for it is "partial 16S ribosomal RNA". It matches the Rfam family "Bacterial small subunit ribosomal RNA", at positions 525 to 776 of the family's 1533-position model. The record is from RNAcentral.
GUAGGGGAGGGAAGCGUGUUCGGAUUUACUGGGCGUAAAGGGCGCGUAGGCGGUCGUGACAAGUCACUUGUGAAAUCUCCGGGCUUAACUCGGAACGGUCAAGUGAUACUGUCGGACUAGAGUACAGAAGGGGCAACUGGAAUUCUCGGUGUAGCGGUGAAAUGCGUAGAUAUCGAGAGGAACACCUGCGGCGAAGGCGGGUUGCUGGGCUGAUACUGACGCUGAGGCGCGAAAGCCAGGGGAGCGAACGGG